GUCUGAUAUGGGCUGUGUUAAUCUCUGGUGUGCUAUCUUGGACUUCAGAAGAGUUACAAGCAAUGGAAUAUUGCCCACUGAGCCUUUGCUGACUGUUCUCACAUUGCCACGAAGGAUAAAGGAUCACAGUUUGUCUUUUGUGUGAGAGGGCCUGAACUCCCAACAUCUCCAAGAGUGCAGGCAACUGGUUUGCUUGAUGUGUCCAGAGAAAGAGAGAGAGAAGAAAAAGUCUCCCUGUCUCAUGCUGUUUGCAGGAGAGCUGAAAAGCUGUUUUCUCCUUUCUUCCUCUCCUCCUAUGUUGUGAUCUGUCAAGACCAGGAACUGGUUUGUUGUUUGCUCUUCACAUAUCUAAAUUAGAAACAGAAACAUCCUUCCUUCCUUCCUUCCUUCCUUCCUUCCUUCCUUCCUUCCUUCCUUCCUUCCUUCCUUCCUUCCUUCCUUCCUUCCUUCCUUCCU
Molecule: long non-coding RNA, 456 nt
Organism: Melospiza melodia melodia
Lineage: Eukaryota; Metazoa; Chordata; Aves; Passeriformes; Passerellidae
Exons: 3
Source: RefSeq, a predicted model, not a curated record